Molecule: ribosomal RNA, 357 nt
Filed under: uncultured fungus
Lineage: Eukaryota; Fungi
Description: SSU rRNA
Rfam family: Eukaryotic small subunit ribosomal RNA
Source: RNAcentral
GUAGUCAUAUGCUUGUCUCAAAGAUUAAGCCAUGCAUGUCUAAGUAUAAACAACUUUAUACUGUAAAACUGCGAACGGCUCAUUACAUCAGCAAUAAUUUAUUUGAUGAUUUCUUACUACAUGGAUAACUGUAGUAAUUCUAGAGCUAAUACAUGCGCAAAGUCCUGACUCGCGAGGGGAGGGAUGUAUUUAUUAGAUACAAAACCAAUGCGGGUUCUGCUCGCCAUUGUGUUGAAUCAUAGUAACUUAUCGAACGCCAUAGCCUUGUGCUGGGCGUAGAUCAUUCAAAUUUCUGCCCUAUCAGCUUUCGACGGUAGUGUAGUGGACUACCGUGGCGUUAACGGGUAACGGGGAAUA